RNAcentral lists this transfer RNA (72 nucleotides) under Camelus bactrianus (Bactrian camel). It matches the Rfam family "tRNA". From Rfam's summary of the family: Transfer RNA (tRNA) molecules are approximately 80 nucleotides in length. Their secondary structure includes four short double-helical elements and three loops (D, anti-codon, and T loops). Further hydrogen bonds mediate the characteristic L-shaped molecular structure. tRNAs have two regions of fundamental functional importance: the anti-codon, which is responsible for specific mRNA codon recognition, and the 3' end, to which the tRNAs corresponding amino acid is attached (by aminoacyl-tRNA synthetases). tRNAs cope with the degeneracy of the genetic code in two manners: having more than one tRNA (with a specific anti-codon) for a particular amino acid; and 'wobble' base-pairing, i.e. permitting non-standard base-pairing at the 3rd anti-codon position. RNAcentral also lists the same sequence under 3 other names. The record is from Rfam by way of RNAcentral. Lineage: Eukaryota; Metazoa; Chordata; Mammalia; Artiodactyla; Camelidae.
GAGGGUAGAGCCCAGUGGUAGAACACAUGCUUAGCAUGCACGAGGUCCUGGGUUCAAUCCCCAGUACCUCCA